AAAUUGAAGAGUUUGAUCAUGGCUCAGAUUGAACGCUGGCGGCAGGCCUAACACAUGCAAGUCGAACGGUAACAGAAAGCAGCUUGCUGCUUUGCUGACGAGUGGCGGACGGGUGAGUAAUGUCUGGGAAACUGC
This 135-nucleotide ribosomal RNA is filed under the name Pseudomonas aeruginosa. RNAcentral describes it as "partial 16S ribosomal RNA". It matches the Rfam family "Bacterial small subunit ribosomal RNA", at positions 1 to 129 of the family's 1533-position model. Lineage: Bacteria; Pseudomonadati; Pseudomonadota; Gammaproteobacteria; Pseudomonadales; Pseudomonadaceae. The record is from RNAcentral. RNAcentral also lists the same sequence under 3 other names.